GUGCUUGCUUCGGCAGCACAUAUGCUAAAACUGGAAUGAUACAGAGAAGAUUAGCAUGGCCCCAGCGCACAGAGGACAUGCAAAUUCAUGAAGUGUUCCAUAUUUAA
Small nuclear RNA from Lutra lutra (Eurasian river otter), 107 nucleotides. NCBI's taxonomy places the organism in Eukaryota, Metazoa, Chordata, Mammalia, Carnivora, Mustelidae. The record is from RefSeq and is a predicted model, not a curated record.